This 396-nucleotide ribosomal RNA is filed under the name uncultured bacterium. RNAcentral's name for it is "bacterial SSU rRNA". It matches the Rfam family "Bacterial small subunit ribosomal RNA", at positions 361 to 773 of the family's 1533-position model. The record is from RNAcentral.
AUCUUGCACAAUGGGCGAAAGCCUGAUGCAGCGACGCCGCGUGGGUGAGGAAGUUCUUCGGAAUGUAAAGCCCUUUUACCGGGGACGAUUAAUGACGGUACCCGGUGAAUAAGCCCCGGCUAACUACGUGCCAGCAGCCGCGGUAAGACGGAGGGUGCUAGCGUUGUUCGGAAUGACUGGGCGUAAAGGGCGCGUAGGCGGCCGCUUGCGUCGGAUGUGAAAGCCCGGGGCUCAACCCCGGAACGGCAUCCGAUACGGGGCGGCUCGAGACCGAGAGAGGUGAGUGGAAUACCCAGUGUAGAGGUGAAAUUCGUAGAUAUUGGGUGGAACACCGGUGGCGAAAGCGGCUCACUGGCUCGGUUCUGACGCUGAGGCGCGAAAGCGUGGGGAGCAAAC